AACGAACGCUGGCGGCAGGCCUAACACAUGCAAGUCGAGCGGACCUUUCGGGGUCAGCGGCGGACGGGUGAGUAACGCGUGGGAAUAUGCCCUUCUCUACGGAAUAGUCCUGGGAAACUGGGGGUAAUACCGUAUACGCCCUUUGGGGGAAAGAUUUAUCGGGGAAGGAUUAGCCCGCGUUGGAUUAGGUAGUUGGUGGGGUAAUGGCCUACCAAGCCGACGAUCCAUAGCUGGUUUGAGAGGAUGAUCAGCCACACUGGGACUGAGACACGGCCCAGACUCCUCCGGGAGGCAGCAGUGGGGAAUCUGAGACAAUGGGGGCAACCCUGAUCUAGCCAUGCCGCGUGAGUGAUGAAGGCCUUAGGGUUGUAAAGCUCUUUCAGCUGGGAAGUUAAUGACGGUACCAGCAGAAGAAGCCCCGGCUAACUCCGU
Molecule: ribosomal RNA, 432 nt
Filed under: uncultured bacterium
Lineage: Bacteria
Description: partial 16S ribosomal RNA
Rfam family: Bacterial small subunit ribosomal RNA
Source: RNAcentral